This 1091-nucleotide ribosomal RNA is filed under the name Boreogadus saida. RNAcentral describes it as "partial 16S ribosomal RNA". It matches the Rfam family "Bacterial large subunit ribosomal RNA", at positions 792 to 2519 of the family's 2925-position model. The record is from RNAcentral. Lineage: Eukaryota; Metazoa; Chordata; Actinopteri; Gadiformes; Gadidae.
CAAAAGAGUGGGAAGAGCUUUGAGUAGAGGUGACAAACCUACCGAGCCCAGUUAUAGCUGGUUGCCUGUGAAAUGAAUAGGAGUUCAGCCCUUUAAGUCUUUCCCCCCUCACCCAUGCUUACGCUAAAAUUGAUUAAGGAAACUAAAGGCGUUAAUCAAAAGGGGUACAGCCCUUUUGAUAGAAGAAACAACUUUAACAGGUGACCCAAGAUCAUAUUACCUAAGGAUUUCAAAUUAAGUGGGCCUAAAAGCAGCCAUCUUAUCAGAAAGCGUUAAAGCUCAAAUUAGCCUAUAUCCUCAUAUACUGAUAUUACAUCUCCCUCCCUGCCCCUUACCAGGCUGUCUUAUGCCCCCAUAAGAACAAUUAUGCUAAAAUGAGUAAUAAGAAGAAUUUAAUUCUUCUCCUAGCACAUGUGUAAGUCGGAACGGACCUCCCACCGACUAUUAAUCGACCCCAAACCCAGAGGGUAAUAGGUCAAAUAAACAAGAAAAACACCUAUUUUGUAUCGUUAACCCCACACAGGUGUGCCUAAAGGAAAGACUAAAAGAGAAGGAAGGAACUCGGCAAACACAAGCCUCGCCUGUUUACCAAAAACAUCGCCUCUUGCCCCAAAAGUAUAAGAGGUCCCGCCUGCCCUGUGACUAUAAGUUUAACGGCCGCGGUAUUUUAACCGUGCGAAGGUAGCGUAAUCACUUGUCUUUUAAAUGAAGACCUGUAUGAAUGGCAUCACGAGGGCUUAGCUGUCUCCCAUCUCCAGUCAAUGAAAUUGACCUCCCCGUGCAGAGGCGGGGAUGAUUACAUAAGACGAGAAGACCCUAUGGAGCUUUAGACCUAAAGUAAGUCACGUUUAACAUGCUGUGAUAACAGUGAAAACUUAGUGAUAUUUACUGAAGUGUCUUUGGUUGGGGCGACCGCGGGGUAAAACACAACCCCCAUGUGGACCGGGGAUAUUAUCCCUAAUACUCAGAGCCUCUACUCCAAGUAACAGAAUUUCUGACUUUUCUGAUCCGGUAUAACCGAUCAACGAACCGAGUUACCCUAGGGAUAACAGCGCAAUCCCCUCUCAGAGCCCAUAUCGACGAGGGGGUUU